UAGCUCAGUUGGUAAAGAGUCUGCCUGCAAUGCUGGAGACCCAGGUUCGAUUCCUGG
This 57-nucleotide transfer RNA is filed under the name Bos taurus (domestic cattle). It matches the Rfam family "tRNA", at positions 8 to 63 of the family's 71-position model. From Rfam's summary of the family: Transfer RNA (tRNA) molecules are approximately 80 nucleotides in length. Their secondary structure includes four short double-helical elements and three loops (D, anti-codon, and T loops). Lineage: Eukaryota; Metazoa; Chordata; Mammalia; Artiodactyla; Bovidae. The record is from Rfam by way of RNAcentral. RNAcentral also lists the same sequence under 5 other names.